RNAcentral lists this ribosomal RNA (230 nucleotides) under uncultured bacterium. RNAcentral's name for it is "partial 16S ribosomal RNA". It matches the Rfam family "Bacterial small subunit ribosomal RNA", at positions 562 to 791 of the family's 1533-position model. The record is from RNAcentral.
AAAGCGUGCGCAGGCGGCUUUGCAAGACAGAUGUGAAAUCCCCGGGCUCAACCUGGGAACUGCAUUUGUGACUGCAAGGCUAGAGUACGGUAGAGGGGGAUGGAAUUCCGCGUGUAGCAGUGAAAUGCGUAGAUAUGCGGAGGAACACCAAUGGCGAAGGCAAUCCCCUGGACCUGUACUGACGCUCAUGCACGAAAGCGUGGGGAGCAAACAGGAUUAGAUACCCUGGU